RNAcentral lists this ribosomal RNA (610 nucleotides) under Alternaria alternata. RNAcentral describes it as "LSU rRNA". It matches the Rfam family "Eukaryotic large subunit ribosomal RNA", at positions 29 to 657 of the family's 3401-position model. Lineage: Eukaryota; Fungi; Ascomycota; Dothideomycetes; Pleosporales; Pleosporaceae. The record is from RNAcentral.
UGGUCUACUAUUUUACUAACGGAGGAAAAGAAACCAACAGGGAUUGCCCUAGUAACGGCGAGUGAAGCGGCAACAGCUCAAAUUUGAAAUCUGGCUCUUUUAGAGUCCGAGUUGUAAUUUGCAGAGGGCGCUUUGGCUUUGGCAGCGGUCCAAGUUCCUUGGAACAGGACGUCACAGAGGGUGAGAAUCCCGUACGUGGUCGCUGGCUAUUGCCGUGUAAAGCCCCUUCGACGAGUCGAGUUGUUUGGGAAUGCAGCUCUAAAUGGGAGGUACAUUUCUUCUAAAGCUAAAUAUUGGCCAGAGACCGAUAGCGCACAAGUAGAGUGAUCGAAAGAUGAAAAGCACUUUGGAAAGAGAGUCAAACAGCACGUGAAAUUGUUGAAAGGGAAGCGCUUGCAGCCAGACUUGCUUACAGUUGCUCAUCCGGGUUUCUACCCGGUGCACUCUUCUGUAGGCAGGCCAGCAUCAGUUUGGGCGGUAGGAUAAAGGUCUCUGUCACGUACCUCCUUUCGGGGAGGCCUUAUAGGGGAGACGACAUACUACCAGCCUGGACUGAGGUCCGCGCAUCUGCUAGGAUGCUGGCGUAAUGGCUGUAAGCGGCCCGUCUAAA